Molecule: unclassified non-coding RNA, 233 nt
Filed under: Hevea brasiliensis (rubber tree)
Lineage: Eukaryota; Viridiplantae; Streptophyta; Magnoliopsida; Malpighiales; Euphorbiaceae
Source: RNAcentral
GCUAGUUAUUUGUUGUUUGAUCUGGGUUUGUCAUUUUUGGAUGUUAUUUUGUUGGGGUAAUGAAUAAUUUCUAUUGGUUUAUUAAGUAAUCAUCAGUGUGUAUGAUUUUUGUUAUGUAAUGAUUACAUGAAUAUUGUUGAAUCUUUACCUCUGUGAAGACUUAUAUUGAUAUAGCAGCUUGUUUAUUGUGGCUGUGACCUAUUCUCAGCUAGUUAUUUCAGUAUUUGUUUUCG